UACGGAGGGUGCAAGCGUUAUCCGGAUUCACUGGGUUUAAAGGGUGCGUAGGUGGCUUUGUAAGUCAGUGGUGAAAGCCCGGAGCUCAACUCCGGAACUGCCAUUGAUACUGCUUAGCUUGAAUCACGUCGAGGUGGAUGGAAUAUUACAUGUAGCGGUGAAAUGCUUAGAUAUGUAAUAGAACACCGAUUGCGAAGGCAGUUCACUAGGCGUGUAUUGACACUGAGGCACGAAAGCGUGGGGAUCAAACAGG
RNAcentral lists this ribosomal RNA (253 nucleotides) under uncultured bacterium. RNAcentral describes it as "partial 16S ribosomal RNA". It matches the Rfam family "Bacterial small subunit ribosomal RNA", at positions 524 to 776 of the family's 1533-position model. The record is from RNAcentral.